CGGCGUCGAGCGGCGGACGGGUGAGUAAUGCCUAGGAAAUUGCCCUGAUGUGGGGGAUAACCAUUGGAAACGAUGGCUAAUACCGCAUAAUGCCUACGGGCCAAAGAGGGGGACCUUCGGGCCUCUCGCGUCAGGAUAUGCCUAGGUGGGAUUAGCUAGUUGGUGAGGUAAUGGCUCACCAAGGCGACGAUCCCUAGCUGGUCUGAGAGGAUGAUCAGCCACACUGGAACUGAGACACGGUCCAAACUCAUACGGGAGGCAGCAGUGGGGAAUAUUGCACAAUGGGCGCAAGCCUGAUGCAGCCAUGCCGCGUGUGUGAAGAAGGCCUUCGGGUUGUAAAGCACUUUCAGUCGUGAGGAAGGUGGUGUAGUUAAUAGCUGCAUUAUUUGACGUUAGCGACAGAAGAAGCACCGGCUAACUCCGUGCCAGCAGCCGCGGUAAUACGGAGGGUGCGAGCGUUAAUCGGAAUUACUGGGCGUAAAGCGCAUGCAGGUGGUUUGUUAAGUCAGAUGUGAAAGCCCGGGGCUCAACCUCGGAAUAGCAUUUGAAACUGGCAGACUAGAGUACUGUAGAGGGGGGUAGAAUUUCAGGUGUAGCGGUGAAAUGCGUAGAGAUCUGAAGGAAUACCGGUGGCGAAGGCGGCCCCCUGGACAGAUACUGACACUCAGAUGCGAAAGCGUGGGGAGCAAACAGGAUUAGAUACCCUGGUAGUCCACGCCGUAAACGAUGUCUACUUGGAGGUUGUGGCCUUGAGCCGUGGCUUUCGGAGCUAACGCGUUAAGUAGACCGCCUGGGGAGUACGGUCGCAAGAUUAAAACUCAAAUGAAUUGACGGGGGCCCGCACAAGCGGUGGAGCAUGUGGUUUAAUUCGAUGCAACGCGAAGAACCUUACCUACUCUUGACAUCCAGAGAACUUUCCAGAGAUGGAUUGGUGCCUUCGGGAACUCUGAGACAGGUGCUGCAUGGCUGUCGUCAGCUCGUGUUGUGAAAUGUUGGGUUAAGUCCCGCAACGAGCGCAACCCUUAUCCUUGUUUGCCAGCGAGUAAUGUCGGGAACUCCAGGGAGACUGCCGGUGAUAAACCGGAGGAAGGUGGGGACGACGUCAAGUCAUCAUGGCCCUUACGAGUAGGGCUACACACGUGCUACAAUGGCGCAUACAGAGGGCAGCAAGCUAGCGAUAGUGAGCGAAUCCCAAAAAGUGCGUCGUAGUCCGGAUUGGAGUCUGCAACUCGACUUCCAUGAAGUCGGAAUCGCUAGUAAUCGUGGAUCAGAAUGCCACGGUGAAUACGUUCCCGGGCCUUGUACACACCGCCCGUCACACCAUGGGAGUGGGCUGCAAAAGAAGUAGGUAGUUA
This 1355-nucleotide ribosomal RNA is filed under the name Vibrio owensii. RNAcentral's name for it is "bacterial SSU rRNA". It matches the Rfam family "Bacterial small subunit ribosomal RNA", at positions 86 to 1436 of the family's 1533-position model. Lineage: Bacteria; Pseudomonadati; Pseudomonadota; Gammaproteobacteria; Vibrionales; Vibrionaceae. The record is from RNAcentral.